AUAAAGUUUUAUCCACAAUCAUAAAAUAUACGAUUAUUAUCGAUAACCAAGAAUUGUGAUACUUGAAAUGUAUUAUACUAUGCAUAUCCAUACUCUUAAAACUCGACGCAUUGCGGGUUAAUACUUUGUCUGCCACGUUCUCGGUUAAAGCCUCGAGAACUCGGGCGCGACUUGCGGGCGCGAGUUUAAACUUGCGACGAUUCGUUUAACAAGUACUUAAUAGUUCCUUAACUAUGACUUAACUUGCCCGGAAGAAAAUUUCUAUCGUCGGGAAUAAAUUAGUGCGAUACGUCGUUAAGUUGUCGUUCUCAACCCCUCCCCCACGCCCUCCCCCCACCCCAACACCUCUCUUCUCUAACCACUCUCCUUUAAAAGUCAACAAUACCAACGAAUCUUACGUAGAGUUCGUACAAACUCGUUGGCCCUUCCGUCUGUGAAUACAAAUAAAUGGCUGGUAGAUGAUCCGAUGCAAAAAUGAUGAAAAUGAUCUUAACUUUCGAUGACCUCGCUUGACCUUUUCUCCUCCACCUCUGGCUGUCUGUCUACGUAACCGAUAACGUUGAGUUCGCUUAUCCAUUGUGGUAUCGCCAUUGAAACGGGUCACGUCAAACUGUUCCGUAGCCGAUGACAACGUCAAAGAAGAAGAAGAAGAAGAAGGAGGAAAAGAAGAAGAAGAAGAAGAAGAAGAAGAAGAAGAAGAAGAAGACGACUACGUCACUUUUCCUAACCGGAUGUUGCGUUUCUCACGCGGAUUGGUAGAAAUGCAGAUAGCAUUAGACGUUGUAAAUGUGGUAGAGGCGCUGGCCUCGUACGUAGUUAUCUUUCCUUUCUCGGGACUUAUCGAUUUCUUAACGAGAGAAACGUUAAAAGUACUUACAUAGACAAAUAAAGAUUUAAUGAUUUAUCCGAUUAGAAAAUUUCUUUUCUUUUUACAUUGAUACACUUCGUAUUAUUAGGUAAUCUCGUAAAUCGAUAAACGAUGAGAAAAAGAUAAAUGAAGAUGAAUAAAGGAAAAAAGAGAGAGACAGAAAGAAAAAAACAGAGAGAGAGAGAGUGGGAGAGAGAGAGAGAGAGAGAGAAGUAGAAAAACGUGAUAGAAACGUUUCAGAAAUAUUACUUAUAUAUCUACACGUUACAGGUGCUCAAGCUUAACGCGAAAUCUUGGAAGACGAAGAACGGCAAGUGCUCCAGGGAACGUGACGGAACGGAGCGAGUUUCUUGAGAAAUACGCACGACGUGAGAUCUGUGAACGCUACUUGAACGAAAGAACGAAAAAACGAACCCUUGGCGUAGGACCGCAAUGAUUUUUAUCCAAAUAAAAAUGAGAAGAAUCAGGAGAAACGGAGCGUAUCAGGAAGGAGAAAAAGAAAAGUCGGUUGGCUUUAUUCGCGUGAAUCAAGGAGUUACAAUGUAAAGUCGACUCGAGAUAUUCUUUCUUCAUCUCUCUCUCUCUCUCUCUCUCUCUCUUUCUCUCUCUCUCUCUUUCUCUUUCUCUCUAUUUCUUUCUCUUUCUCUCUCUCUCUCUCUCUCUCUCUACCUGUCUAUCUAUCUCCCUUUCUUUUUAUAACGGAAAGAACCUCGAUAUUUUGCCUUUAAAUUCUUACUAAGGUAUUUAUAAUUUACGACUUUAUAAAAGCCCCGGUUAAAGAAUGAGAGAUGCUCGUUUAAAGAUCGUAAAAAGAUAAAAGAGAGAGAGAGAAUGAGAGAGAGAGAGAGAGAGAGAGAGAGAGAGAGAGGGAGAGAGAGAGAAAUAGAGGGAGAGAGAAAAAAAGAGAAAGAAACGAACGUACCUGAGAUAGACUGCUACGACCAAAGGUGGGCGUUCCUGUCUGAG
Vespa mandarinia (Asian giant hornet) is the source of this 1834-nucleotide long non-coding RNA. NCBI's taxonomy places the organism in Eukaryota, Metazoa, Arthropoda, Insecta, Hymenoptera, Vespidae. The record is from RefSeq and is a predicted model, not a curated record.